Long non-coding RNA from Cryptotermes secundus, 1855 nucleotides. RefSeq lists it as uncharacterized. The record is from RefSeq and is a predicted model, not a curated record. The transcript has 3 exons. Lineage: Eukaryota; Metazoa; Arthropoda; Insecta; Blattodea; Kalotermitidae.
GUUGACCUUCGCAAGGAAACAUCGCUGCGUCUAAAUUUGGUUUCGGAUAGUUGAAUUGACUGUGCUGGAAAUCUGGUUUCGGCCCGCAGCACUGAUCGAAGGGGGAAGAGUGCCCUCACGACAUUGUCAAGGGUGGAUCAGUCGUGAGUGCAGGGAACAGCUCUAUCGAAGCUUGCGUGACUCUGUGAUCUGGAGAGCUAUGCCGGCGGUAGUUUAACUACCGGUAGGGUCACCCAUGCCAGAAAAAUCAAAGGAUGGGCGUGAGAAUCUUCAGUCUGACCCAAGUAGCGGAGUCCUUCAGCCUCUCGAAAUGCAGACGCAGUCACAAAUGGCCGCGAAAUGGUGACGCGAGAUAGUCAUGGCCUCUCGGAAUGAUGGCGGAUGAAUCAAACAACAAUAAGGAGAUGUUUCGUCAGACCCUUCAUGAAUAGUUAUGGAAUGCGCGGAGAGUUCGUCCCACACAGACCCACGGACGAGCAGAAGCAGCGGAGACUCACAUCAUACCAAAAUGUGCGGAGAGUUCGUCCCACACAGACCCACGGACGAGCAGAAGCAGCGGAGACUCACAUCAUACCAAAAUGUGCGGAGAGUUCGUCCCCCACAGGCCCACGGACGAGCAGAUGCAGCGGAGACUCACAUCAUACCAAGGCUUCAUCCAGACUUGUCAAGACAAUCCCAUGUUCACUUUAUCGUGAUCUGUCCUUCCUAAGGCGAAAACGCCCUCAAAGGAAAGAGGUUUCAGGAUGCUGAAGACAUUAAGAUAAAAGUGAAGGCUAAACUGAACUGAACUGAAUUAUGUUCCUUUGGAGGCCUCUACUGACUGUUUUGAUUUUUAAACCAUGCAACAAAUAUAUUCAAGUAGGCUGAGAUUACAUUGAAUAGAAAUAAAGCAAAUUUUUAGUUUCUUUUAUUUUUUAUUUCUUAUUUCACACCAGUUCUGGAACUUUAUAAUCGCUAAGUUUGUCCGCUUUUGAUAAGUUAACUUACAAUUGAUGUAGGAAUUUGUCUGCGCUAUGAAGUCACAGAUACUCACUUAGCUGUCAUAGCAGUACAGGAAACCCUCCAUCUGCCUCCCGCUGCGUGCGACAAAGCGCAGGAUAAGGGAUGAAAGCCCAACUGAGAACCACGUUUGACAUCAUGCUGGUACACCACACGGUGGUGACGAUGCAGUUCAAAGAUGGAAUGAUAAUCACAAAGAGAAACUAGAACGUUGCCCCAAUUCCUCUUUAUCGAUCAGUCCCACUGAAACAUGUGUUCCGGUGCAAUGUUUAACUUUCACGAUCCCCACUGAAACAUUUGGCCUAGUGCCUGUUUUUCGUCAUCAACCCCACCGAAUCAUCUGUCCUGGUGCCUGUUUAACCAUCACCAGUCCCACUGAAACAUUUGUCCUAAUGCCUGUCUUUCGUCAGCAGCCCUACUAAAACAUCUGUCAAUGUAUGAUUUCCAAUCACCAGUCCAACAGAAACAUAUGUCCCAGUGCUUUUUAGGCUCUUGUAAACGUGGGAAUAAACCUUCGUUUUCCAUAACUGACCAGAUGAAUGACAGUCAGCUUAUAAAGAAAGACUCUGCCUUACAGAGCUAGUUCGUCAUUUAAGUUCUUGAUCAGCUACGUGACUAUCAGCUUCUUAAGAAAGAUCCAUCUUCGUAGAAUUUGUUCCUUAGUUUGUUGAUCCGUUAGUUCUUAACCAGAUGGGCGACUGUAUGAUUCUGCUCCAGCGAGUUAGCUUAUUCAGUGAUUGUGGAGUUGAGUGUGCCUGGGUGGGAGGGUGAAUGGAAGUGAUUUCAAGAAAUAAUUAGAAACUACAGAAGUCAGUGCUUCCAGGGAGCCUCCAUGUGUCAGUUCUGUCACACACGA